CUGCCCUCGGGCCUGGCUCGCCCGCGGGCGGAUGGCUCCGGGUCUCUGCUGCUGAGGAUGUGGCUGCCGGGCGGAGGUCGUCCACUCCCCUGGGCCUUUCUCCGCGAGCCCUCCCACGCCGCCCGCUCCUCUCCCGGGGCGAAGGGCGGGGACGAGGCGCGCCGAAGCCCCGAGCUGAAGAGAAGGGUGGGGGCAUGAGGGCGCUGGAGUGAGGAACAGAUUGGAGCCUUCCCACUUCCUCUCCAAUCUCAGCCCCCGGGAGGAGGGGUGAGGCCCUCGAGGGGGCCCGGAGUUAAGGAGGAAUAGACCGUUUCUCUCUCUCCUGUCUCCCCCGCCUCUGCCCGUCUUCCCUCUAAGCCGGCCUCUAGGUGCAGAGGCUGACGUCCAGGAUGGGGACCGGGGAAGCCUCUGGAGGGUAUAUCCGGGAAGGCACCAAGGCUGAAGUGAGAGCGGUUCUGGGGAAGGCUUUAAAAAGCAGAUAUGGACCAGGGUAGAGUUCGUACGCUGUAGCUUUUCAAGAACACCGAUCUCAUUAAUUAAAGAACAGCAACUAUUUAAUUCCAGUUAUAAACUAUUGUUUUCCAGUUAGUCUGGGUAGGUGUGGCCGUUUGUAGAAUAGUUAGAUUACAUUAGUCUAUUGCGUUGGUACAGUUGUCUAUAGCUUGAGCAUAUAAAAACUCCUGAGCCCAGCAGAAAAGUUACUUUCCAAUACCAGUCUCCAUCCUCCGUGCUUUGGAAGUUGCAUCGUUUUCCGGUUUUUCGUACUCAAAGAACACUGUCAAUUAUGACAGCUCUGUGACCUCUGGUAAUGAAUUAGUGUAUUAGUCACUCCUGAAACGUUCCUUAAAGUGCUGGAACUUAACAGUAGCACAGCACAUCCAGUACACAGCUGUACCGUAUUUCCAUAUUUUUCAAAGCUGAAAAUCUUAAUUGGAUAUCUUGGAUCAUUAACUUAAAACCUCAGCGGAUUUUUCUUUCAAAGCAGACAUAACUGAGGAUGCUGACCAAUGAAUGCAAAUAAACUAUGCAAUAUUUUUUAAAAUAACAAAUGUAUGUUAGUUUUUUUUAAGCUGAGGUCAACUAUGUUUUGGGGGGUAUGUGCUUUUUUAAAUUAUUGUUUUAUUUCAAUCGAUUUUUGGGGGUAACAGGUGGCGUUUGGUUACAUGAAUAAGGUUUUUAGUGGUGAUUUCUGAGAUUUUGGUGCGUCCGAGCAAUGUACACUGUAUCCAAUGUGUAGUCUUUUGUCCCUCAUUAGCCUUCCCCUUACCCCUGAGCUCCCGAGUCCCCAAAGUCCAAUGUAUCAUUCUUAUUGAAGACAGCUAAAUUUUUAACUCUGAGACUCACUGGAGAGAAUGACUGGUUGUCUUUGGGUGUUACUGAAAAGCCAAAGGAUUAAGCAAUAGGGAUAAAGUAGAGGAGGAGAUAAUUGUUCUCGUAUGUCAUAUGAAAAUGCUAACCAUAGUUUGUAAGCUAACAGAAGAAGCCUGAGGAAGUUCCCGAAUUUAUGAUAUCCUCUUCCCUUUUUUCCAAAGAAAGAUGCAGUCUAGCACCUCAGUUAAGAAUAUGGACUCUAAAGUCAGACUGCCAGGCUUCAAAUUCCAGUUCUGCGACCUCAGCAAAGUUACUUAACCAAGCUCUCAGUGCCUUGUUUUCUUCAUCUGUAAAAUGAGGAUGACGUCACAGCAUUGUUGAGAGAAUUAAUACAGGCUCCAGACUUGUGAAUGGAGAAGUGUUGAGGUGACCCCAGCUCCAGCCACCAGCUGACGACAACCAUACCGGAGAUCCUGAGAGCUGCCUAGCUGACCCCAGGCACCCCCCAGACUUCAUGUAAGCUGUUUGAAGCCGAGGACUUUGUCUGUUUUGUUCACUCCCAAUAGAUUCAGCACUUAGAAGAAUGCCAGGCAGGCUUUCCCCACCAACCAAGAUGGAAUAACAGGGAAAAGACAUACCCUUCUAUCUUCAAUAAUUGGAAACCCAGACAAAGUUUAUGAAACGCUGGUUUUCAAGACAUAGGACAUCAGACAAUCAAGGACAGUAAACACUGAGAUGGGAAACAAACAAGGAAGCCAUGAAAACUUCAAAACUGCUUCACCACCUGGAGACCAAGCACCCUGCAUUAAAAGACAAGCCUUUGGAGUUUUUCUAAAGAAAAAACAUGAACACAGAGAACAGAAGUAAUUAUUGAAGGCCACUACUUCAUUAAGUGUGUCUGUACUGAGAGCAUCGUUCCUAGUGGCUAACCACGUUAUUAGGCUAAGAAGCCCUUUAGUAUUGGUGAAGAGUUGAUCCUGCCUGCUGCUAAGGACAUUUGUCAUGAACUUUUAGGAGAGGCUGCUGUUCAAAAGGUGGCACAUGUUCCUCUUUCAGCUAACACCAUAACUAGAAGAAUGGAUGAAAUAGCAGAGAAUAUUGAGGCACAAUUGUUAGAGAGGAUUAAUGAGUCACCGUGCUACACAAUCCACAAAAGGGUUUUGUCCCAGAAAUAGACUCAUACAUAUAUGAUCAGUGAUUUUCAACAGUGGUACAAAUGCAAGUCAGCGCAGAAAAAAUAAUCUCUUCAACAAAUGGUGCAGGAACAAUUGGAUAUCCAUAAAAUGAACUCGGAUCCACGCUUUGCACCAUAUGCAAAAAUUGACUCAAAAUAGGUAUAGGUCCUAGACCUAAAUGUAACAACCUGAAACUCUAAAAUUUCUCAGGAAAAAAAUGGGAUAAAAUCUUUGUGGUCUUGGAUUAGGCAAAGAUAUUUUCUUGUGUUUGUGGGUAAAGAAACCUUUAAUGAGGGUUCAAGGUGUAAGAGGAGGACCUUGUAGAGAGCCAGCGCUUAGCCCCAGCCUCCUCAUAUGCACAUGGCUCUGUAGAGGUUCUCCAGACAGUGCUGCUGCUGCUGUUUCGAGCCUUAUCUCCUCUGUGCUCCUC
Molecule: long non-coding RNA, 2916 nt
Filed under: Homo sapiens (human)
Lineage: Eukaryota; Metazoa; Chordata; Mammalia; Primates; Hominidae
Description: HSALNT0182760
Source: RNAcentral